AGAGAUUUAAGUUAACAAAACUAAAGACCUUCAAAGUCCUAAAUAUGAGUUUAAACCUCCUAAUCUUUG
Molecule: transfer RNA, 69 nt
Filed under: Ensatina eschscholtzii (common Ensatina)
Lineage: Eukaryota; Metazoa; Chordata; Amphibia; Caudata; Plethodontidae
Description: tRNA-Trp
Rfam family: tRNA
About the family: Transfer RNA (tRNA) molecules are approximately 80 nucleotides in length. Their secondary structure includes four short double-helical elements and three loops (D, anti-codon, and T loops).
Source: RNAcentral